UAAUAUAUUAAUAAUAUUUACUCUCUCUUAAUAAAUCAUCCUAUCAAGUUGCUAUGGUGAAGGCAACCCAAAAGGACCAUGCACAACCGGGUCAAAUACUUGCCUAAUAUAGUUGCAGCCUUAGACACUAUUCCAACAGUCUCCCACUUGGAUAAGUCUAGUAACUAUAUGCACAAGUACAAUUCGGUUUGCAAUCGUAGCUCUCAAAGACGCUGUCAAACUCUGAUCUAAUCAAUCUUGUCCUUUAGAUAAGGGAUCGUACAGUCCUCUGUUAGAUAUCAUGCUGACAAUCCUAUGGAAUAGUUAGUCAAGCAUUUAGGUUUCUCGAUCUCUGAUUUAUUUGACAUAGAACUUAAUCGAACACAUCAAUUCAGUUCUGACCGGGCCCGACACAUAAGUCAAAUCAAAUCAUCGAGCGGCCGAGAUAUCACUUUUACCUUCUUAGAUAAAAGUUACAGAUAAACUUCGACUUAUAUGCAUUUACUUAUUCAUUAACCAACUAUACACAACAAUGCGUUUUAUAACACCGAGUUACUGAUGCGUUUUCGCAUUAUCAAUGUACAAUCAAUUAACAAAUAACAAACCAUAUAUCUAGGUUUUAAGACUAUAUGAUAUUAUCGUCUUGCGAUCACCCUUUUAUAUCAUAUUCCAUAAGGUGAUUCCAGCAAGCGCGGGUUUGUUCCAAUGCUCAAAACUAGUUCAUAAGCACUCAUGAACGUUGCAGCAACCCUUUGCUAUGUCUAACACCAUUUAGACAAUCUACACACCAAUUCAUGACAAUCUUCAUUCAUAUCUACUUCCAACAUAUGAACGAUUGUGGACAAUUUGAACAAUUCGAUUAUUCCUAAUAAACUCAAUUAUUCUGGAAGUCAAAACAUGCAAAGUGAAACAAUAGUUAAACAAUUAACAUAAGAUAGUAACAUUACUCAUAAAUAAAACUCCUUUAUUUAAUCAUCAAAUGUUAAUUACAUUUAUCUAUUACACGUUUCUAAUACUAUCUAAUCUAUGCUAAUAUCAUCCUUCAGCCCAAUACUCCUAGCAUGCUGCAAGUGCUUAACCCUACUCAGUCCCUUCGUAAGCGGAUCUGCUGGGUUAUCUUCUGAUGAUAUCCUCUUCACUACGAGUUGUCCUUCUUCUACACGAUGUCUAAUGAAGUGAUACUUUCUGUCGAUAUGUCUUGAUCUACCAUGAUCCCUCGGUUCCUUGGUCAAGGCAACCGCUCCUUCGUUAUCACAGAAAAUCUCCAUGGGCUCCUUUAUGGCAGGUACAACUCCAAGAUCACCGAUGAAGUUCUUUAGCCAUAUUGCCUCCUUCGACGCUUCGCUCGCUGCAAUGUACUCUGAUUCGCACGUUGAAUCAGCUACGGUUUCCUGCUUGGAACUCUUCCAUGUCACUGCUCCUCCAUUUAGGGUAAAGACCCAGCCCGACUGCGAACGGUAGUUGUCCCUGUCGGUCUGAAAACUGGCGUCACUAUACCCUCGCACCUUCAAGUCAUCACUCCCUCCGAGGACUAAGAACCAUUCCUUCGUCCUCCGAAGGUACUUAAGGAUAUUCUUCACCGCAAUCCAAUGUGCUCUGCCAGGAUUCCCUUGAUAUCUGCUAACCAUGCUCAAAGCGAAGGCUACAUCAGGGCGAGUACAAGUCAUAGCGUACAUGAUUGAGCCAACUGCGGAAGCGUAUGGUACUCGGCUCAUUUCUGCUAUCUCAGCUUCGGUACUCGGACUUUGAGUCUUACUCAAUUUGGCAUUACUUUGUAUCGGUAGUUCUCCCUUCUUUGAGUUUUCCAUACUAAAACGUUUUAGUACCUUCUCUAAGUAAGUAUUCUGACUAAGUCCAAUUAGUCUCUUACUUCUUUCUCUUACUAUCCUUAUUCCCAAAAUGUAAGAAGCCUCUCCGAGGUCCUUCAUAGCGAAGCACUUCCCGAGCCAGGACUUAACCUCCUGCAGAGUCGGGAUGUCGUUUCCUAUGAGUAAUAUGUCAUCGACAUAUAGAACGAGGAAGCUUACUAUACUCCCACUGGCUUUGACAUAUACACAAGAUUCGUCUUCGCUUCGUACAAAUCCAAACUCUUUGACUUUCUCAUCGAAGCAAAGAUUCCAUCUGCGAGACGCUUGCUUAAGUCCAUAAAUGGACUUCUCAAGCUUACACACUCUAUUCGGAUGCUUCGGAUCCACAAACCCCUCUGGCUGAGCCAUGUAAACAUCCUCAGCCAACUUUCCGUUAAGGAAAGCGGUCUUGACAUCCAUUUGCCAAAUCUCAUAAUCAUGAAAUGCGGCAAUUGCUAGCAUCACUCUAAUAGAUUUAAUCUUCGCAACUGGUGAGAAGGUCUCAUCAUAGUCAACUCCGGGAGUUUGAGUAAAGCCCUUCGCAACCAAUCGCGCUUUAUAUGUGUGUACGUUUCCAUCCACGUCGGUCUUCUUCUUGAAGAUCCAUUUGCACCCAACGGUCUUACGUCCGGGCACAUAAUCAACCAAAUUCCAAACUUGGUUAUCAUACAUGGAUUGGAUCUCGCUAUCCAUUGCCUCUUUCCAUUUUGCAGACUCCGGGCCUGCCAUGGCUUCCUUAUAGCUAUUAGGUUCAUCAAGAUUUAUUAGUGUACCAUCACUAAUAUACGUGUCCCCUUCGGUAGUAAUAUGAAAACCAUAAAACUGGGGUUGAACUCUAACUCUAUCGGAACGUCUAAGAGGUAAGGAUUCGUCAAUCGGUUCAACCGGAGUUUCCUCCUCGGGUUGAGUGCCAGCGGUAGAGGUUCCUUCAUCUAUCGACUCUUGAAUCUCUUCAAGCUCGAUUUGCCUCCCACUGUCUCCUUGGCUUAUGAGUUCUCGCUCUCGGAAAACUCCUCUCCUCGCAACGAAGACAACAUUGUCCUUCGGUCUAUAGAAGAGAUAUCCAAAGGAUGUCUGCGGGUAGCCGAUGAAAAUACAUCGCUCACUUCGAGGUUCAAGCUUGUCGUGAGUAUCUCGUCUUACGAAAGCCUCGCAACCCCAAACCUUGAUAUGUGCCAACGAGGGAGCUUUCCCUGUCCACAUCUCGUGAGGUGUUUUGGCAACCUUCUUAGUAGGGACUCGGUUAAGGAUAUGGGCGGCAGUCUCUAAGGCAUACCCCCAAAAAGAGAUAGGUAGUGAAGCACGACUCAUCAUAGAGCGAACCAUAUCCAAUAAGGUUCGAUUACGCCUUUCUGCCACACCAUUCAACUGCGGUGUCCUAGGAGGCGUCAAUUGCGAAACUAUUCCACACUCCUUGAGAUAAUCGUGGAAUUCAAGACUUAGGUACUCUCCUCCUCGAUCGGAUCGAAGCAUCUUGAUUUUCCUGCCCAAUUGAUUCUCCACUUCAUUCUUGAACUCUUUGAACUUUUCAAAGGUUUCUGACUUUUGCUUGAUUAAGUAGAUAUACCCAUAUCUACUAUAGUCAUCGGUAAAAGUCACAUAGAAGCGGUUCCCAUCCUUCGUGGUUGAUCUAAACGGUCCACAUACAUCGGUAUGUAUUAGGUCCAAUAGACCCUCGCCCCUUUCACAUGUACUCGUGAAGGGUGACUUAGUCAUCUUUCCAAGCAAACAAGACUCGCAUGUGUCAUCUUCCCUAAGGUCGAAUGACUCCAACACUCCAUCCUUUUGGAGUUGGGCUAUGCGUUUCUUGUUGACAUGUCCAAGACGACAAUGCCACAAGGAUGCUUUAUCCAUACUAGUGGAAGAAUCAAUAUUCAAAACAUCAUUUCCUAAGUUAUCAACAAUCAUAACGGUUUCAUAUAUUCCAUUACAUGGUAUAGCUUCAAAGUAAAAGACACCAUUUAGAUAAGCCAAAAUAGAACCAUUCUCAUUAUUAAAAGAAAAUCUAAAUCCUUGUCUAUAUAAACCAUGAAAUGAAAUGAUGUUUCUUGCCAUUUCUGGCGAAUAGCAACAAUUGUUCAAAUCUAAAACUAAACUAUUCCUAAGCACUAAGGAAUACACUCCAAUCUUGGUCACAGGCGACGAUCUUCUGUUCCCCAUGAUUAGAUUGAUCCUUCCUUGCUCCACAUCCCUACUUCUUCUUAGUCCCUGCACAUUAGAACAAAUGUGAUAACCACAACCGGUAUCAAGAACCCAAGAAAUAGCAUGAUUAGAAUCGUUAGAUUUGAUUGUAUAUAUACCUGCGAAAGAUGGCUUGAUCUUUCCUUCUUUGAUUGCUUGCAGGUAAUCCGGGCAGCUUCUCUUCCAAUGUCCUAUCUUGUGGCAGUGGUGGCACUCUGCCUCCUUCGGGUUAGAGCAGGGCUUGGCGGGAUCAACUUUGGUCCCACUAGAAGAGGCACCAUCUCGGGCUUUCACCUUGCGAUAGUUCUUCGAUGAAGCUUUCCUCUUCUUUCCCUUCCCUUGUCCAAUAGCCAAGACAGGAGCAGCGGGCGGAUUGGGAGUAGGUGCAACAGACUUGUCUUUGAAGUUGCUCUCAGCAACCCUCAAGAGACCUUGGAGCUUGCUUAGGGUGACCUCUUCUUUGUUCAUGUGGUAGGUCAUCCUAAAUUGGUUGUACAUCGGAGGCAAAGAGUGAAGCACCAUGUCGAUCGCCAAGUCUUCACCGAAGUCAACAUUUAACUUGCGGAGGCGGUCAACAUACCUUUGCAUCUUUUGCAAGUGCACGGUAAGAGAUUCUCCAUGACCCAUCUUCGCGGAAAUCAUGUUAGUGAAAAUCUCGUACCUCUCUUGUCUCGCGUUUUGGUGGUACCUCUCCAAUAAGUCUUGAUGCAUCUCGUACGGGUACAUGUCCUCGUAGGACUUUUGGAAUUCGGAGUUCAUGGUGGCGAUCAUGAUGCAAUGUACCUUCGUUGCAUCUCGCUCAUGAGUUUCAAAGGCGGUGAUUUCGGCGGGAGUAGCAAUUUCGGGGUUGAUUUUCUCGAGCUUCUCAUCGAGGACAUACUCCUUAUCCUCAUAGCGAGCAAUGGUGCGAAUGUAUCUUAUCCAUUCGCUAAAGUUCGUUCCAUCGAAGGUGACCUUUUGGCAAAGGCUCAUCAACGUGAAAGAACUAGCAGCAGCGUUGUUUGCGUUCGACAUCUACAAUUAGAAAAGGACAAAGAUAGAUUAGAAUAAGAAUCCCUAAUUAUCACCCAAUAAGAAAAUUAGGGCUAGGAUCCAACAAUAACAUUUACAUACUAGAAAAGGGAUGCCGUAAUCUAACAUGCAAAUAAAUUGAAGGUAAGUGAAUGACGAUUCACUAAUUCUCCAUCACAAAACUUAAACUAUUAGUCCUAAGUGUUUUUGAGAAUUCCUAGGUUCGGAUGAGAUUCAUUGAAACUAUUCAAUGGCAUGUUUAAAUCUCGAUAUGCCCCUCUUGUUUGUGACUGGGAUGCCGAGGAUCACAAAGCGGGUGUGAAUUACCAUGCAAAUUCACAUGGUGCCUUCAUUGUAACAAUCACCUAUUCGAUGUGCCGGUAAACCACACACGCUCCAUCGAACUAUGAUAAACAAUGAAUCACCCUUUGCCACCUUCGCUUAGAACCAAUUAGUGUGCCGGUAAACCACACACGCUCCACUAACAUCUUAGCAAGGUGCAAAGUGUAAUUUCAUGGGAUUGCAUCAAUUCACUUUUCCUAAAGUAACUAGGAUUGGGAAAUUUUAAAAAAAUGUGUAGUUACUUUAUAUUUCUUAUUAUACUUUUAAUGAGAGGAUGAGGUUGCCCUAUCCUACCCGUUCGGCUAACGACCCUCCACCAAUCAAGCAAGCGGUGGGUGUGAGUGUACACCCAUUAAGCGCCAUUUUAUAGGCCGCAACCUUAUACCCACCUUAUAGAUCGGCUUCGUGAAUGAGGCCUACUAACGGUAAGACUAGCAUUUAGUUAUACAUAUAUAUAUUAUUCUAGUAAUAUCAUAUUAGUAUAGGGUUGUAUUUUAAAACUUUUAAAAUCUAGGGUUUGAAAUUUAAGUUGUCUAAAUUAAAACUUUUAAUCACAAAAGUAAAUUUCAAAACAUGAGGGUAGGUUUUAAACAUUUAAAACAUGGAGGAUCAAAUAACAAAUAAUUCCAAUUAACAAUUAAUAUCCUAAUUAUCUAUAUUUGAUUUAUUCAAGAUUUCUUUUAAAGAUAAUUACCAAAAUAAUCAAAAUAAUUAAUUAAUUAUCAUAUAAGGAAAUUAAAUAUUUAAUUAGUUGAUAAUUACCUUUAACUAGAUCAAGAUAAUAGUUAUAUUUAUCAGAAAAACGAAUUAAUGUUGAUCUAAUUAGUUUAUGGUAAGUUAAGAUAAGAUAAACACAAAGAAAUCCCGAAUCUGGCCAUUCCUGACGCCUGGACUCGCCGAGUGCACAAAUGGACUCGCCGAGUCAGGCCUACUCGCCGAGUCCACUUUGAGACUCGCCGAGUCCAUGACUCAGAAACCAAAAAUUCGAAUUUUGCAGGUUUGUUUCAGUUAAUCAAGCAACAAUUUACAGAAAACCAAGCUAGGCUCUGAUACCACUGAUGGGUUUUAGCCAUAAGAACUUUCCUAUGUGCGCAUGCAAAACCCUAAUGCUUGGAUCUAGGCUUUCUAAUAAACAUGCUUUGAAUCCAAGACUUCUAAUUACUAAUUAGGUUAAACAAGAACAUUAAAACAGAUCUAGAAUCAUACCUUUGAGUUCCUUGUUGAUCUUGAGGUCUUGGAGCUUCUAGAGUCACAAAUGUCACUCCUCUAAUGGCUUACAAACACCAAAGCAAGGAGGAUGAUUUGGGAGAGAGGAGAGGGGAGGAAUUUCGACCAGAGGUUCCUUACUUUAGGUCAAGUGUCGAAUUCCAUCAGCCAUGGGGUCUAUUUAUACUUGUAGACUCCUUAAGGAUUACAGAUAAGUCCCUAUCAGAUAAUCUUCUCUUAAGGCUAUCCAAAUCCAUUCCUAGAUAACUCUAAUGGACGAUUUUAGCUAUCCUAAUCCUCUUAGAAUUCGUCCAUAGUAUAUCCAAAUGGAUUUACAGUUUAAAGCUUAACUAUCAAACAAUUGACAGUUUAUACCCCUUUAUUUAAUUAAUCUCUUUAAGUCACCAAAUUAAUUCUAAUUAAUUCUAUGACUUAUAUUAAUCAAAUAACAAAUAUAUUAUUCAUUAUAUUAUUCCCAUAAUAUAUUAAUAAUAUUUAUUCUCUCUUAAUAAAUCAUCCUAUCAAGUUGCUAUGGUGAAGGCAACCCAAAAGGACCAUGCACAACCGGAUAUAGUUACAGCCUUAGACACUAUUCCAACAGUCUCCCACUUGGAUAAGUCUAGUAACUAUACAAGUACAAUUCGGUUUGCAAUCGUAGCUCUCAAAGACGCUGUCAACUCUGAUCUAAUCAAUCUUGUCCUUUAGAUAAGGGAACGUACAGUCCUCUGUUAGAUAUCAUGCUGACAAUCCUAUGGAAUGGUUAGUCAAGCAUUUAGGUUUCUCGAUCUCUGAUUUAUUUGACAUAGAACUUAAUCGAACACAUCAAUUCAGUUCUGACCGGGCCCGGCACAUAAGUCAAAUCAAAUCAUCGAGCGGCCGAGAUAUCGCUUUUACCUUCUUAGAUAAAAGUUACAGAUAAACUUCGACUUAUAUGCAUUUACUUAUUCAUUAACCAACUAUACACAACAAUACGUUUUAUAACACCAAGUUACUGAUGCGUUUUCGUAUUAUCAAUGUACAAUCAAUUAACAAAU
This 7600-nucleotide long non-coding RNA is filed under the name Lactuca sativa (garden lettuce). Its description in RNAcentral is "long non-coding RNA (LSAT_LNC010073)". Lineage: Eukaryota; Viridiplantae; Streptophyta; Magnoliopsida; Asterales; Asteraceae. The record is from RNAcentral.